This 547-nucleotide ribosomal RNA is filed under the name uncultured bacterium. RNAcentral's name for it is "bacterial SSU rRNA". It matches the Rfam family "Bacterial small subunit ribosomal RNA", at positions 355 to 896 of the family's 1533-position model. The record is from RNAcentral.
UGGGGAAUAUUGCGCAAUGGGGGGAACCCUGACGCAGCCAUGCCGCGUGAAUGAAGAAGGCCUUCGGGUUGUAAAGUUCUUUCGGUAUUGAGGAAGGUUGAUGUGUUAAUAGCACAUCAAAUUGACGUUAAAUACAGAAGAAGCACUGGCUAACUCCGUGCCAGCAGCCGCGGUAAUACGGAGGGUGCGAGCGUUAAUCGGAAUAACUGGGCGUAAAGGGCACGCAGGCGGUUAUUUAAGUGAGGUGUGAAAGCCCCGGGCUUAACCUGGGAAUUGCAUUUCAGACUGGGUAACUAGAGUACUUUAGGGAGGGGUAGAAUUCCACGUGUAGCGGUGAAAUGCGUAGAGAUGUGGAGGAAUACCGAAGGCGAAGGCAGCCCCUUGGGAAUGUACUGACGCUCAUGUGCGAAAGCGUGGGGAGCAAGCAGGAUUAGAUACCCUGGUAGUCCACGCUGUAAACGCUGUCGAUUUGGGGGUUGGGGUUUAACUCUGGCGCCCGUAGCUAACGUGAUAAAUCGACCGCCUGGGGAGUACGGCCGCAAGGUUA